This 113-nucleotide small RNA is filed under the name Enterobacter sp. BIGb0383. Its description in RNAcentral is "SraB RNA". RNAcentral also lists the same sequence under 1 other name. Lineage: Bacteria; Pseudomonadati; Pseudomonadota; Gammaproteobacteria; Enterobacterales; Enterobacteriaceae. The record is from RNAcentral.
UCGUCAUAUUUUUUUCGCUCACAUAUAGCGUAUUGGAUUGCGUCAUUUUAAACUACUGGCCGCAAUGUGUGCGAAUAACUGGCGAAAGGCAACCUCAGGCUGCCUUUUUCUUU